This 68-nucleotide transfer RNA is filed under the name Deveximentum ruconius (deep pugnose ponyfish). Its description in RNAcentral is "tRNA-Arg". It matches the Rfam family "tRNA". Rfam says of the family: Transfer RNA (tRNA) molecules are approximately 80 nucleotides in length. Their secondary structure includes four short double-helical elements and three loops (D, anti-codon, and T loops). The record is from RNAcentral. Lineage: Eukaryota; Metazoa; Chordata; Actinopteri; Chaetodontiformes; Leiognathidae.
AGGCAGUUAGUUUAAUAAAAACACUUGAUUUCGGCUUAAUAGAUAUGGUUAAAGUCCAUAACUGCCCA